RNAcentral lists this ribosomal RNA (600 nucleotides) under uncultured archaeon. RNAcentral's name for it is "bacterial SSU rRNA". It matches the Rfam family "Archaeal small subunit ribosomal RNA", at positions 156 to 760 of the family's 1478-position model. The record is from RNAcentral.
AUAAAUGAUUUUUUCUGGAAUGAUUGAUCGUUGAAAAUUCGCGUGAGGAUGGGGCUGCGGUGGAUUAGGUAGUUGGCGGGGUAACUGCCCACCAAGCCAAUGAUCCAUAAGGGCCUUUAGCGAGGAAGCCCUGAGAGGGAGUCUGAGACACUACUCCCAGCCCUACGGGGUGCAGCAGUCGGGAAAAUUUUGCAAUGCGCGAAAGCGUGACAGAGCAAGCCAGAGUGAUAUUCCGUUUAGGAAUAUCUUUUGUGGAAUGUAGAAAGUUCCACGAAUAAGGACCGGGAGAGACUGGUGCCAGCCGCCGCGGUAAUCCCAGCGGUCCAAGUCGCAGCCACAUUUGUUGGGUCUAAAACACCCGUAGCUUGUCUUACAAGUCUCUUGUGAAAUCGGGCAUCUUAAGUGUCCGGCGGGCAAGAGAUACUGUUUGACUCGAGACCGGGAGGUGCAGAGAGUAUUUUAGGGGUAGCGGUAAAAUGUGUUGAUCCUUAAAAGACUAACAGUCGCGAAGGCGCUCUGCAAGAACGGAUCUGACAGUGAGGGAUGAAGGCUAGGGGGCGCAAAGUGAUUAGAUACCCAUGUAGUCCUAGCAGUAACACU